AAAGAGAUUUUCUAGAACUCAGGAAAGUCUCCUUCCAUGAUAUUUGAAAUACUGUUAAUUUGGUUUGACUCUGUACCAACGGUAGGCGAGUGGAGGCGGAGCGGGCCGAGACAAGCAGUAAGAAACUCCUGCAGCUGAUAAGACUAAUCUGGUGACGUCAAUAAAGAAGAGAGAGAUAUGCGGGAGGGUCGCUGAAAGGUGAUUUAAGCGCGGGUGAGAGCCGGUGAAAGACUUGUCGGCCGGCAAAUGAACUCGGGUGGACGCGAGAAAAGGCAUGCCAACCCACGAGGAAACUUGGGCACAGGUUAAAGAGAGAAAGCGCACCGAGGCGGAAGGAACUACUGCCGGUAAACAUCAAGAGGAAAUGCGUCCCGAACCGCAAGUGUGUGGGUGAGGACUCGUUCGAGUUGCAAAUGGUGGAGUUGGAGAUGGAGCCUUUGGAGAAACAGAUUCGCGAGCUGCAUGUAAAGCAUGCCCGGCUGCGAGAGCGGAAAGCAGCGCUGGAAACAUCCCGGGCAGAUGCGCACUCAUCCCAGUAUGUUUGUCCCUGAUGAGCAACUGUGGCAAGGAAAAACUCCCCGAGAUGGCAUAAGG
Silurus meridionalis is the source of this 594-nucleotide long non-coding RNA. RefSeq lists it as uncharacterized. The transcript has 3 exons. The record is from RefSeq and is a predicted model, not a curated record. NCBI's taxonomy places the organism in Eukaryota, Metazoa, Chordata, Actinopteri, Siluriformes, Siluridae.